GAGUGAGAGGCUCGAAAAUAUGGAGCGCCACCGUGGAGCAUGGGGAGUGGCUGGAAGGUCAGGAAAGACACAGUUCAACACUGAGAGGGAUGCUUAUUCAGGGAGCCCUGGGGCAGCACCAGAGGCUGCUGGCUGGGCACUGAAGUGAUGAGAGGCAUCUUCCCAGAAGGCGAUGAGCAGGGCGGCAGCGAGGCACUGGCUCGGGUGAAGAAGCCCCAGGGCAGGUGCAGAAGGUGGCCGUGCAAAGAGGCUUCUGGAGUCAGGAUGGUUGGAUUGAAGCCCUGCUGCUUAACAGUGGUGCGACCUUGGACCAGUUAUUGGACCCAUCUGGGACUAAGUCAUCUCAUCUAUAAAAUGGAUGUGGCCACAAUGACGACAAUAUAGGUUGGACAUCUUUAGCAGAAAUACCUGGAGCCGGGCAUCGUGGCUCACAUUUGUCAUCUCAACUCUUGGAGAGGACGAGGUGCGGGCCUGCCUCUACCAAAAUUUAAAAAUUAACUGGGUGUGGUGGUGCACACCUGUAGUCCCAGAUACUCAGGAGGCUGAGACAAGAGGACCGCUUGAGCCCAGAAGAUUGAGGCUGCAGCCUCUUGGACCUCUUCCCAGAGCUUCCCAGGAUACCUACUCCAAAGCUAUCCUUCCCUUCUCGGAGCUCUCAUCUCACCUUGCACAGGCUCUGUCCAAACAGCGUCCUGGGCCAUUGCGCAGGGAGAAGAGAAAUUCUGGCCUGGAUCUUCUGGGGAGCCAGAUCCCCAGGUCUUUCAAUGUUCCAGAAUUGCAGAAAUGCUGGAAGGAACCUCCUGGAUCACCUACUCAUGAAAGAACUCAGGCAACGGAAGGCCGGGGAGAGGAAGGCCACGCCAAAGCCCAGCCCCAAUGAGAAGACCGAGGCAUGCAGAUAAUUAAAGAAAAAAACAAGCAAAAACCUUGCCCAGGUUACACAAUGAGUGAGCACUGGAGGAGAACUCAAAUGCUGGCUGCCUGACUGCACGGGGCUUGCUGGUAACUCUUUGCUGGAGCAGUAAAGGCUCCAGUAGGGUCAGGGAGUCCUGGGAGCUCGGAGGUGGGCAGCUGACGCGGCCCGCGUGGGACGGGAAGGCGCAGCUCGGCAGCUUCUCCACACUCACCACUGAGUCUGUUCACCCUCCCCUGCUCGUGGGCGACUCAUGUUUUCUCACGAUCUCCUCUCCUCAAACCCCACCCCGCCCUCCCCGUCCUCACUCUCAGUUGUUGACCUUGUUUCCCACUCCCUGAAGACAAUCCCAUCUCUCAGAAGUACUUCCAGAUUUGCACGGGCACAUCCACUCCCCCCGCCCAGCCUCUGCACCCACACACUCUGCCUCCCCAAGUCCUAGGAGAGAUGACAGCCCAGGCCUGCCCUCGCCCACCACCCCAGGUGGGCACCGGAGCCCAGUCCCUGUGAUCAGCAAGUCAUCCCCUCCUUCUUCACUGGACCAUUCCCAUCAGUGGUUGUUUUUCCUCCCAUCUUAAACAAACCUGCUCUUGAUCCCCUGUGGCUACCCCUCUGCAACAAAACUCCUCCCAGAGUUGUCUCUAUUCACUAUCAUUGGUUCUUUGCCUGUUUUCUCUCAAACUCACUCCAAUCUGGCUUUCGUCCCCAUUACUCUAUCAAAAAUAUUCCUAUGGGCCAGGCAUGCUGGCUGAUACCUGUAAGCCCAAUGCUUUGGGAGGCUGAGGAGGGCGGAUCGCAAUGUCAAAAGAUUGAGACCAUCCUGGCCAAUGUUAUGAAACCCUGUCUCUACUACAAAAAUUAGCUGGGCAUGGUGGCACAUGCCUGCAGUCUCAGCUUCUCAGGAGGCUGAGGCAGGAAAAUCGCUUGAACCCAGGAGGCAGAGGUUGCAGUGAGCCGAGAUCGCGCCACUGACUGGCAGUAGAGUGAGACUCCAUCUCAAAAACAACAACAACAAAAGUUGGUUCUUGGGUGGGACAGAAAAAUAUUGAUAUUACAAUGGUUUGUAAUUCUCCAAAGGGCCAGAGUACAUGGACAUGUAUACAUUAUAGCUGUGCUGUUAAAAUUCCAUUGUGGGCUAGAUGCGGCAGCUCACGCCUGUAAUCCCAGCAUUUUGGGAGGCUGAGGUGGGUGAAUCACCUGAAAUUAGGAGUUCAAAACCAGCCUGGGCAACGUGAUGAAACCCUGUCUCUACUAAAAUACAAAAAUUAGCC
Molecule: long non-coding RNA, 2184 nt
Organism: Callithrix jacchus (white-tufted-ear marmoset)
Lineage: Eukaryota; Metazoa; Chordata; Mammalia; Primates; Cebidae
Source: Ensembl